Molecule: long non-coding RNA, 3330 nt
Organism: Gossypium arboreum
Lineage: Eukaryota; Viridiplantae; Streptophyta; Magnoliopsida; Malvales; Malvaceae
Exons: 2
Source: RefSeq, a predicted model, not a curated record
GGAAAAAAGAAUUGUUAAAGUCAAUAAGACUAAAAACGAAAAGACUCGAAUUGUCAAUAAUCAAAGGAGGAACAUCGCUCGUUAGGAAAGGAAACCUUGAAUCUUCCUCUCGACGUUGUGCAGAUAGCAUCUUCUACCUCCACUUUAUCUCAUAAUGGAAGAUUCUCUCCAUAGCAAAGGUAUCAGAGCUUCUCGAUCCUCAUGAUUGUGGAAGAAGUGACGACCAAGGUGCAGAAAGAGCUUGGUAUGAUGCAAGGGGAACUUGCUCAGCUGCAAGUUAAGGAUUGACGCGAGGUUGAAGGAUUUCCAAGAGGGACUUAAGUCGGAAGUCCGGUCAGAGAUACGAUCUGAGCUUAGAUCUGAGCUUCAUUUGUUGUUUGAGCAGUAUUUUGGGCAGGUUCCUCCUGUUCUAGUUACUGGGUUGGCGUCGAGAAAGGGAAGGGAAUUUUAGGUUCUCCUUCUGGGUUUUUUGCGAAAGAACGUCUCAUAGUGUCUUCGAUGCCAGAUUUGGGACACUCGAGUAUGUCUUCACGUGGAGGUACAGUCGAAACUGUAAAUACUUCCUUUCGAGUUGACUGUUCGCGUUUUGAUGGUGAGAAUUUUGAAGCCGAAAGUGUCCGUGAUCAUUCUAAGAUUAGGGUGGUCAUGUUACAUUUAGAGGGCAUUAAACUGGCAUCACUUCUUUGUACAGAGGUAUGAAGGGUUACAUCAGUUAACUUGGGAGCUGUAUGCUAGGAAGAUUAGGGAGCGUUUUGGUUUUGACUUUUUUCUCGAUCCCAUGACUGAGUUAGUAACUCUCAAGUAACAUGGAUCCGGUGAUCAGUUUCGUGAUGGAUUUUUGAGUUUGUUAAAUCAGUUAAGCUUGCCUGAAUCUUAUGCUUUGAGUAUAUUCAUCAGUAAUUUGAAGCCGAAAAUUGGGCAGUAUCUCAGGCUGUUUAAACCUCAAUCGUUGAUGGAAGGUUACAACCUAGCUAGGCAGGUUGAAAAUAUUGUGUGUGGACCAUCAAAGAAGGGGUUUAGUACUGGCAGUGGCUUUAGUUCAUCGCGACCUUUAUUUCUUACUUUACGAGUACAACAAGGAAUGGGGAGUUCGCCUUCAACAGGGGGUCGGUGCAAGGUAACACGGGACAAAGAAUUCCAUCUAAGUCUUUGUCCCAAGCAGAAUUGGAUGAUAGACAAAAGAAGGGCCUUUGUUUUUGGUGUGGUUCGAAAUACUUUCCACGCCAUAAGUGUUCUAAGUCCCAAAUGUAUCAACUUGUUAUUGAACCAAUGUAGGAACAAGGAUCUGAUGUUAAAAGUCCAUCAUCUGAAGGGUCUUCGGAUUAUCUUGAACCAUCGGACUUAAUGGAUCCGAUUUCGGAGAGUCCCGUGUUGUCGUUGUAUGCUUUGUAGGGUUUACAAGGACCUAAUACCAUGCGUUCCUCAGCUGUUAUUGACCACACUGAAGUAGUUGUGUUGGUGGAUUCUGGGAGUACACACAAUUUUGUCGACUUAAGGUGGAUAAAAGGCUGAAUUUAGUGGUGGAGCUGAGUAGUACUUUGCGAGUAAUGGUAGGAAAUGGGGUUCGACUAUCUACUCAAGGAUUAUGUAGAACAGUUUCAUGAGAGACGUAGGGUUAUCAGAUUACUACUGAUUUUCUAAUUUUGUCAGUAAAAGGGUUUGAUUUGGUGCUUGGCAUUCAGUGGCUGUUAUCCCUUAGUCCAAUUGUGUGGAAUUUUUCCAGUUUGACCAUGCAAUUUAAACACAUGGAACAGGACUGUGUGUUGUAAGGUAUUGUACCAGGCUCACUUCAGAUUGUUUCCAGUAACCAACUUGCUAAGUGCUUAAGUUUGGUCGAUAAUGGCCCGUGUCCGAUGUUACUGACUUCUUGUGAUCAGACUAAUCUUACAAUGCAACUAGCUCAGCUUCCACUUGAUUUGGAAGGUCUUCUUGCUAACUUUGAAGACAUCUUCCAACUUCCUAUAGGUUUACCACCAAACCGAUUGCAGGAUCAUCGAAUUCCCUUGAUGGAUGAGUCCAAGGUUGUCAAAGUGCGACCUUAUCGAUAUCCAGCAGUUCAAAAAAUAGAAAUAGAGAAGUUGAUACAAAAAAUGUUAGAUGCGGGCAUAAUUCGGGAUAGCAACAGUCCAUUCGCAUCUCUAUGGUGAUGGUCAAAAAGAAGGAUGGCAGUUGGCGGUUGUGUGUGGGCUAUAGGCAACUUAACAAAUUGACAGUCAAAGAUAAAUUUCCUAUUCCAAUCAUUGAGGAGCUUCUAGAUGAAAUGGGGCAAGCACAAUUUUUCUCCAAAUUGGAUUUGCGUUCGGGCAACCACCAGAUUCGAAUGUAUGAGCAAGAUGUGUACAAAACAACUUUUAAAACUCAUACGGGUCAUUAUGAAUUCUUGGUCAUGCCAUUUGGCCUGACCAAUGCUCCAUCGAGCUUCCAGUCUUUGAUGAAUUCGAUAUUUCGGUCCUGUUUGAGAAAGUUUUUCUUGUUUUCUUUGAUGACAUACUCGUUUAUUCACAAAGGUGGGCUGAUCAUUUAGUCCAUUUGCAAUAGGUGCUUCAAGUGUUGCGGUCUAACCAGCUCUAUGCUAAGAAGUCCAAGUGUAUUUUUGGUGCUACACAGGUUGAAUACCUUGGCCACGUGAUUUCUCAAGGAGUGGUUAGCAUGGAUCGUACCAAAGUGGAUGGUGUGUUAGAUUGGUCUCCACUGACAUCAGUCAAUGAGUUGCGAGGGUUUUUGGGACUCUCCGGGUACUACAAACGCUUUCUUCGAGGUUAUGGUCUGUUGGUUAAGCCCCUUACUGUUUUGCUAAAAAAUGAUGUACCAUGGCAAUAGAUAGUGCAGGAACAAAUUGCUUUCGAUCAGCUCAAGAAGGUCGUUUGUCAGGCCCCGGUUCUUGCAUUACCAAAUUUUCAAGAACCCUUUUGUGUGGAAACCGAUGCUAGUGGUCAAGGGGUUGGGGCUGUUUUGCAACAAAAUGGCCGGCCAAUAGCAUACUUCAGUAAGGCAUUGGGAGUUAAGUAUUAGGCCUUGUCCAUCUAUGACAAGGAAAUGCUUGCGGUCUUGCUUGCGGUGAAGAAAUGACAUUCUUAUUUGGUCGGCCAACAUUUCUUUAUCAAAACAAAUCACCAGAGCUUAAAGUUUCUUUCUGAACAACAAGCAAUCACACCUUAUCAAUAAAAGUGGGUUUUUUUUUUUUUGUUUCUGUAUUAGUUAUGUUUUAAUAACAUAUAUAAUUUUUUUGUGUUGAAUUAUAAUUAUUAGCAUGUUUUAUUUAGUUGAACUGGACGAAUUAGUUGAAUUGUAUAAUCAAUGACUUGAUUGAUUUGAUUAGUAGUUCAAAAA